Molecule: ribosomal RNA, 261 nt
Filed under: uncultured Flavobacteriaceae bacterium
Lineage: Bacteria; Pseudomonadati; Bacteroidota; Flavobacteriia; Flavobacteriales; Flavobacteriaceae
Description: partial 16S ribosomal RNA
Rfam family: Bacterial small subunit ribosomal RNA
Source: RNAcentral
CUAUUAGUUAGUUGGUGAGGUAAUGGCUUACCAAGACACCGAUAGGUAGGGGUCCUGAGAGGGAGAUCCCCCACACUGGUACUGAGACACGGACCAGACUCCUACGGGAGGCAGCAGUGAGGAAUAUUGGACAAUGGAGGCAACUCUGAUCCAGCCAUGCCGCGUGCAGGAAGAAGGCCCUACGGGUUGUAAACUGCUUUUAUACAGGAAGAAUUGUACCUACGUGUAGGUAUUUGACGGUACUGUAAGAAUAAGGAUCGG